AACGCACAUUGCGCCCUAUGGUACCCCAUAGGGCAUGCCUGUUCGAGCGUCUAUAGGGGAAUCGUGCCACAUGGUGUUGGGCGUGGGUGCCGUGCCUUUGCUGCCGGAUGCUCGCCUGAAAAGUAUUGUAUUACCGCGGGUCUUGCGCAGCACGAAGCGCCUUGAUUUUGCGGCUGUAACCGUCUGUUUGACCUCGGAUCAGGUAGGGAUACCCGCUGAACUUAA
Molecule: unclassified non-coding RNA, 225 nt
Filed under: uncultured Pleosporales
Lineage: Eukaryota; Fungi; Ascomycota; Dothideomycetes; Pleosporales
Description: sequence contains 5.8S rRNA gene, ITS2, 28S rRNA gene
Rfam family: 5.8S ribosomal RNA (bases 1-52)
Source: RNAcentral